Molecule: ribosomal RNA, 253 nt
Filed under: uncultured bacterium
Lineage: Bacteria
Description: partial 16S ribosomal RNA
Rfam family: Bacterial small subunit ribosomal RNA
Source: RNAcentral
UACGGAGGGUGCAAGCGUUGUCCGGAUUUAUUGGGUUUAAAGGGUGCGUAGGUGGUCUUCUAAGUCUGGUUUGAAAGCAAGUGGCUCAACCAUUUGAUGUGGCUGGAAACUGGGGGACUUGAAUGGAUUGGCGGUAGCCGGAAUGGGUCAUGUAGCGGUGAAAUGCAUAGAUAUGACCCGGAACACCGAUUGCGAAGGCAGGCUACUACGAUUUGAUUGACACUGAGGCACGAGAGCAUGGGUAGCGAACAGG